Molecule: unclassified non-coding RNA, 396 nt
Filed under: Hevea brasiliensis (rubber tree)
Lineage: Eukaryota; Viridiplantae; Streptophyta; Magnoliopsida; Malpighiales; Euphorbiaceae
Source: RNAcentral
AGUUAAAUCAUGUGAUUCAAAAGCCACUUCCGUGAAGGAAAUGAAGAAGGUAGACUCUGCAAGGUCUUCAAGACUUUCUCUACUUCAUCAAUGGUCUCAAGCUUUACAUCUCCAGGGACAGAAUCCAAAGCCCACAGCUGCUUAGGCCAUACAGCAGAUUCCCCAUAAUCACCCCUAGAACAACUCUGCGCGAACUGGAGAGCUACUUUGCCUCCCAUGGAGUGACCAAUAACAACAUCAGGCCAAGACCAACCAUGAGAUUUGACCAAAUUAGCCAAAUCUUUAGCCGCAUUGAAAACAUCAUGAGGCGGGUCCAGACCUUUAAUAUCCGCAGAUUUCCCAUGGUUCCUCAAAUCUACAAGCACCAUCCUCCACUCAGAAGAAGAAGAAGAUUUG